This 305-nucleotide ribosomal RNA is filed under the name uncultured bacterium. RNAcentral describes it as "bacterial SSU rRNA". It matches the Rfam family "Bacterial small subunit ribosomal RNA", at positions 333 to 636 of the family's 1533-position model. The record is from RNAcentral.
UGCACCCUACGGGACGCAGCAGUCGGGAAUAUUGGUCAAUGGCCGGAAGGCUGAACCAGCCAAGCCGCGUGAAGGACGAAGGUGCCAAGCAUUGUAAACUUCUUUUGUCAAGGGACAAAAUCAGGCUCGAGAGCCUGAUCGAGGGUACUUGAAGAAAAAGCAUCGGCUAACUCCGUGCCAGCAGCCGCGGUAAUACGGAGGAUGCGAGCGUUAUCCGGAUUUAUUGGGUUUAAAGGGUGCGUAGGCGGGCUGUUAAGUCAGCGGUAAAAGCCCGGGGCUCAACCCCGGCGAGCCGUUGAAACUGG